Molecule: ribosomal RNA, 392 nt
Filed under: Rhizosolenia sp.
Lineage: Eukaryota; Bacillariophyta; Coscinodiscophyceae; Rhizosoleniales; Rhizosoleniaceae
Description: partial small subunit ribosomal RNA
Rfam family: Eukaryotic small subunit ribosomal RNA
Source: RNAcentral
AUUCCAGCUCCAAUAGUGUAUAUUAAAGUUGUUGCAGUUAAAAAGCUCGUAGUUGGAUUUCUGGCGGGAGCGAUCGGUCCUUCACUCAGUGUUGGAACCUGAUUGUCUCCUGCCAUCCAUGGAGAAAACUUAUCUGGCAUUAAGUUGUCGGGUAGGCAAUCUCCAUCUUUUACUGUGAAAAAAUUAGAGUGUUCAAAGCAGGCUUAUGCCGUUGAAUAUAUUAGCAUGGAAUAAUAAGAUAGGACUAUGGUACUAUUUUGUUGGUUUAUGGGACCGAAGUAAUGAUUAACAGGGACAGUUGGGGCCGUUUAUAUUUCGUUGUCAGAGGUGAAAUUCUUGGAUUUACGAAAGAUAAACCUCUGCGAAAGCAUUCGGCAAGGAUGUUUUCAUCG